RNAcentral lists this non-coding RNA (30 nucleotides) under Mus musculus (house mouse). The record is from RNAcentral. Lineage: Eukaryota; Metazoa; Chordata; Mammalia; Rodentia; Muridae.
UGGCAUAGAGGUGAAAUCCAUUUGUCUGGC